UUAACCGACCGAUCCACCCAGGCGCCCCAACACGAACGCUCUUACUAACAACGAUACCUAACAUCAAUUCAGCUGACAGUUCCAGGCACUGAGCUGAGUGGUCUUCAAUUCGACCCGUCACAGAGUCCUCACACAGCCCCACACGCAGGUGUAUCUGUCAUCCCCCUUACAGACUGAAAACUCCUGAGGUGCAGAGAAAUUAAGAGACUUGCGAGGAAGAGGAGGAGCUGCGACUUGAACCCAGGUCUGACUGCAGAGAGCAGGCCCUUAACCCUGAAGUAAAGAGCAGGAAGAGGAAGUAAAGGUCUUGCCUUUGGCAGGGAGAGGGGUCUCUCUGCAUUCCCUGUACCCUCACCCUUUCCCUACCCUUUUUAGCCCAAGUAAAAAUGACAAUUCCAUUGACCUACUGACCUGGUAACCAGGGCCAGAUAAUUUCACAUCUACUUGUUGGGUCAUGAAGUAGGAUCAGGAAUGGAAUUAGGGUCAGAAACAGGAUGAUCGUGCCUUGCCAACAUAAUUAUAUCCCUUGCACUCUGUGAUCAAAAUGAUUGAGUCAGAGGGUUUUGCUUUGUGCCAGCGCCAUCUGACUGGCUCUCAAAGAGGUCACCCAGGGUAGUUUUACCUUGAUGAGUUUUCCACAGAGCUGAACCUGCUUCAUGGCCAAGUCGGUGCUCUGAGGUUCAGCUGCCUGGAGAAGUCUGACGCCCAGCAAUCCAACUCAUAGGAGGCUGAAGUAUAUAACCAGAUACUCACAUAUCCAUUAACAAUUGGUAUUAGUCUUUCAGUAACUGGAAUGCUCCUCCUGCACCUGGGGCCCCCUCCUCCUAGUAGCAGCAAUCAGAAAGCCAAAUCACCCAUCAGCUGGCUGGUUGGUUGCUGACUAUUCAACUAUACCACAUUCCAGCCCUGCCCCCUUGAGAUGGCAUCAGGGAGAUGACCUGACGGUGGGUUUGUUCGCCCAAGCUCUUCAUUUAUUUAUGGACUUUUUGUAUAUAUUCUCAGAUAUAUUAGGUUGAACCAUAUGAAAUUGCUA
RNAcentral lists this long non-coding RNA (1033 nucleotides) under Suricata suricatta (meerkat). RNAcentral describes it as "lncRNA (ENSSSUG00005016000.1)". The record is from RNAcentral. Lineage: Eukaryota; Metazoa; Chordata; Mammalia; Carnivora; Herpestidae.